CCCUAGCUUAUCUAGCUUAUGGAGGAAGCGAGGAGCGCUGGAAGGCAUGGCAAGAUCGCGCUCAAGGAGCUCACGCAGUCGCCCGGGAGGUAUUUGCUUCUUAGUCCCAACGAUGAUGGCCUCGAGCGCCGCCAAGCGCGGCUUGCUCGAGCUCAAAAGAGGAGGUCGCUUGCGUUUGGCGAGAGCGAAGGCGGAGAGGGAUCUCCUGCUCUUCCUGAGAAUCCUUCGCGGAGCGAGCAGAUUCUCACGCCAGACCAGGUUUUGGAGCUUCUCAAUAACUGCAUCAAGCUUGCCGCUGAGAAUAAAAUUAACCAGCAGAACACUUGGGAUCUCAAGCUCAUAGAUUAUCUUCCUCACAUUGUCAAGGCUGACAACAAUGAAGACACACAAACGAAUUUUCAAAAGGCUAGCUGCACGUUGGAAGCCAGCGCCAAAAUCUAUUCUUGUCGAGUGGACUCCGUCCACACGGAAACUUAUAAAGUUCUGGGAGGCCUUCAUCGAAGUGCCAAAGAGAAAAAUGACACGCCCGAGGCUUGUGAAAACGGUGGUACUGAGCAGCAGCAUGAACACCACAAAAGAAAGGAUUGUCACAAACAAACUUUAGAGUCUUAUGAGAGCUUGAAUGUGAAGCAUUUUGAUGCUGCUAUGAAUGUGGAUCCUCUAUUUCAUCAAACAUCAGCACAGUUUGAUGAGGGUGGAGCAAAAGGUCUUCUUCUUAACACCCUAAGCGUUUAUAGAGGGUGUGAGAUUUUAUUCGACUCUCAAGAUAUCCCGGAGAAAUGUAUGAAAGUCGAGCUGCCAAAAGAUCCAGCUAGAAUUGACUUAUCAUUUGCGUCAGAUGUGAUUGAAAAAAUGCUUUCGAUAAAGGAUACGGAAAUAUCUCCUUCUCUUUCUGAAAUUGUGCAGCUUAUCGAUGAUCCUCUUCGCAAAGCUGCCACCUUGGAUGCUGAGUUUUCAACGUUCGAAGCGUAUCAUCCAGAAGAAGACGCUCAAAAUGACGGAUACGCAAGUCCACACUCAACCAUUGAUGCAGAGCCCAUGUAUGACGAUGGCCCGAAUGAUGGAUACGCAAGUCCGGCGUCCACAACGUCCAACUCGCCCCAAGAGGAUGGCUUGCAUGGAUCGGUUGAAUAUCUUUCGUGCGAUCCAGAAGACACGAUCGAUUGGCUGAAAGAAGGCCUGGGCAUCCCCAGCGGGAAAAACUUUUGGGCCGGGGCUGACUACUGGAAAUUUACGAGGCCAAAAGAUGAUAUGUCGGAGGCUACGGAAAAGAAACCAACCAAGAAGAAAAAGGAGCCUUUUUCUAUAAUCUAUACCUGUGCUCCCGAAAUGGAAACGCACGCAUUCGCCAAGCCUCGUGACUUACGAGCAAAUCUGCUGCCACAAUCAAGGCAAUCUGCAAGCACGACACUACCCGAGGAUUUACGAUAUGAAGCUGAUGAUCUGCUUCGACUUUUCCUUCGACCUUCAAAGAUGCUUAUACGGCCACGCUCUAAGUCGAAAGUCGACAACGCCUCGGAAACUUGGGGCGGCGACGCUGGAGACUUCUGGGACGGUGGGAGCAUCCACAGCGAUGUUGAAGACAACAACACGGAUGAGUUAGUUGUCCAGCCAAGAAAGGUUCAAAGAAUCGAAGUAAACUACGACAAAACCUCCAAGCAAGUUGACGUGCGUGCAUUGAAACAGAGCAUCUGGGACCAUCUCCAACACGAGGCCACAACCGAGCUCCAAGAGGACAUCGACACCGAAGAUCACGGGAUCAUACACUUCAGCGACGUGCUGAGCAAAAUCCCGGGCGACUGCGCUGCGAGUGCCGAUCCAGGAGACUUAUCUGUCCACCUCUGCUUCAUUUGCCUGCUCCAUCUAGCAAACGAGCACGGACUGGUGAUCAAGGGGUGUUCAACCAUGGACGAGCUACUGAUCGAGAACGUACGCCACUAAAACGAGCGACAUUGCAAUCCGGCGGAGUUCGUUGUAUUCUUCCUGGGUGAUAGUCCAGCGCACGCCAUCGCCCAGUUUACACAAACCCGACUCAUCACCACAAAACAAACCGGGACCCUCGUUGGUGGUGGUUUGGUUCCUGUUAUUAGCAGAGAUUGCCUAAGGUGGAUGACGAGGGCAACAAGAUUGGAGGCGCGACGAAUGCGCAAAACUGACCAGUGUUCUUCCUUCGCAGGAUUGGAUCGCAAUCUAUCUGUUCUUUGUGCUCUCUUUGCAAAGCUGGUUGAUCACCCUACGUUUUCUAUCAUGGGAUCAAAGAUGACACAGCCUUUAUACGACACGUUAAAGGUACUAGAA
Selaginella moellendorffii is the source of this 2298-nucleotide RNA transcript. It is a transcript of the gene named condensin complex subunit 2-like, with no coding region annotated. The record is from RefSeq and is a predicted model, not a curated record. Lineage: Eukaryota; Viridiplantae; Streptophyta; Lycopodiopsida; Selaginellales; Selaginellaceae. The transcript is spliced from 12 exons.